AACACGCCUCCCCAGACACCCAGAAAUAGGACUCAUAGACUUGCCCUCAGAACCAGCCCCCGCCCGCCCCACGUAGUCACAGCCUCCAACAGCGCAAGUGGCUGGUGAGCCUCAGUCAACAGCCCCCUCCAGCCUCGCAGCCACCGCACAGGCCUGCUUGGCACUUGGACUGUCACGACCGUGUUCCUGGAACUUGGGGGUAGCAAAAGAGAUAUGCAAACAAACCGGAAUGGAAUGGCACUCGCUCAACCUCUGGGGAAAUCCGCACUACAUAAAUGACCAAGAUGUGCCAUCUAGUGCCACCUGGCAGGUGAUCGCGACGCACGAUUCGUAAAGGGAUGCUUGAUCACGUCCAAGGGCUAAUUGGCAGGGAGAGCUGCUGGAAAUCACAGGAGAAGGGAAUCAUUGAUUGUGCUGUAAUCUUACUGGAAUUGGAGGCAGGAGCUUUAAAUCGCCCAGAAAUGGAGGAGCUGUCUUUUGUGUGACACCUCUGGGCUCGUACGAGCUCCACUCUGUGCGGACUCUGUGCAGAUGCUGAAGUAGGAGUGCGGCUGGAGGGAGGCCCUCGCCAUCUCUUUAUCAAAGCUGGUUUACAUGAUACAAAUUGUCCUACACUUUUGGUUCAUCUUCUACUAUUUUCUAGAGGGCCCGGUACAGAAAUGCUAUAUCCGUGUUCCACGGAAACCCACUUCAUUGUUAAUCAUUUCAUUUUGAUUUUGUGACGACACCGGCAAAAGUUGCGUGUUUAUGCUCUUGGAAGCUUUCUGAACAGGAUAUUUCUCAGUGAAAAAGUCAUGCAUUGGGGGCAAGUCUGACAUCAGGCGUUCCUUUCACGGAUCGUGCCUUUGGCGUUGGAUCUCAGGCACUCUUUGACUUGUUCUAGAUCCUGAAGGUUUUCCUCCAUAUUUUCUCUAAAAUUUUAUAGCUUCAUAUUUUAUAUUUCAAUCCGUGGUCCAUUUGCAGGGUUUUUGUUUUUUGUUA
Herpailurus yagouaroundi (jaguarundi) is the source of this 981-nucleotide long non-coding RNA. RefSeq lists it as uncharacterized. The transcript has 3 exons. Lineage: Eukaryota; Metazoa; Chordata; Mammalia; Carnivora; Felidae. The record is from RefSeq and is a predicted model, not a curated record.